GCCUACGGGGGGCAGCAGUGGGGAAUAUUGGGCAAUGGAGGCAACUCUGACCCAGCAACGCCGCGUGAGUGAUGAAGGUCUUCGGAUUGUAAAACUCUUUAAGUGGGGACGAAGAAAGUGACUGUACCCACAGAAUAAGCCUCGGCUAACUACGUGCCAGCAGCCGCGGUAAUACGUAGGAGGCAAGCGUUAUCCGGAAUGAUUGGGCGUAAAGGGUGCGUAGGCGGCCUGCUAAGUCUGGAGUGAAAGGUACCGGCUCAACCGGUACAGGCUCUGGAAACUGGCGGGCUAGAGAGCAGGAGAGG
Molecule: ribosomal RNA, 305 nt
Filed under: uncultured bacterium
Lineage: Bacteria
Description: bacterial SSU rRNA
Rfam family: Bacterial small subunit ribosomal RNA
Source: RNAcentral